CCUACGGGUGGCAGCAGUGAGGAAUAUUGGUCAAUGGGCGUAAGCCUGAACCAGCCAAGUCGCGUGAGGGAUGACGGUCCUAUGGAUCGUAAACCUCUUUUAUAAGGGAAUAAAGUGCGGGACGUGUCCCGCUUUGUAUGUACCUUAUGAAUAAGGAUCGGCUAACUCCGUGCCAGCAGCCGCGGUAAUACGGAGGAUCCGAGCGUUAUCCGGAUUUAUUGGGUUUAAAGGGUGCGUAGGCGGCCUGUCAAGUCAGCGGUUAAAUUCGGGGGCUCAACCAGAGAAUUGCCGUUGAACCUGGGAGGCUUGAGUAUGCGUGAGGCAGGCGGAAUGCGUGGUGGAGCGGUGAAAUGCUUAGAUAUCACGCAGAACCCCGAUUGCGAAGGCAGCGUGCCAGGGCAUGACUGACGCUGAUGCACGAAAGCGUGGGGAUCGAACAGGAUUAGAUACCCGAGUAGUC
This 460-nucleotide ribosomal RNA is filed under the name uncultured bacterium. RNAcentral describes it as "partial 16S ribosomal RNA". It matches the Rfam family "Bacterial small subunit ribosomal RNA", at positions 338 to 795 of the family's 1533-position model. The record is from RNAcentral.